AUUGAACGCUGGCGGAAUGCUUUACACAUGCAAGUCGAACGGCAGCACGGACUUCGGUCUGGUGGCGAGUGGCGAACGGGUGAGUAAUGUAUCGGAACGUGCCCAGUCGUGGGGGAUAACGUAGUGAAAAUUACGCUAAUACCGCAUACGAUCUAUGGAUGAAAGCGGGGGAUCGCAAGACCUCGCGCGAUUGGAGCGGCCGAUAUCUGAUUAGGUAGUUGGUGGGGUAAAGGCCCACCAAGCCAACGAUCUGUAGCUGGUCUGAGAGGACGACCAGCCACACUGGAACUGAGACGCGGUCCAGACUCCUACGGGAGGCAGCAGUGGGGAAUUUUGGACAAUGGGCGAAAGCCUGAUCCAGCCAUUCCGCGUGCAGGAUGAAGGCCCUCGGGUUGUAAACUGCUUUUGUACAGAACGAAAAGGUUUCUACUAAUACUAGGAGCUCAUGACGGUACUGUAUGAAUAAGCACCGGCUAACUACGUGCCAGCCGCCGCAGUAA
RNAcentral lists this ribosomal RNA (500 nucleotides) under uncultured bacterium. RNAcentral's name for it is "partial 16S ribosomal RNA". It matches the Rfam family "Bacterial small subunit ribosomal RNA", at positions 30 to 523 of the family's 1533-position model. The record is from RNAcentral.